CCUACGGGAGGCAGCAGUGGGGAAUUUUGGACAAUGGGCGCAAGCCUGAUCCAGCAAUGCCGCGUGCAGGAUGAAGGCCUUCGGGUUGUAAACUGCUUUUGUACGGAGCGAAAAGGUUCCCUCUAAUACAGGGGGCUCAUGACGGUACCGUAAGAAUAAGCACCGGCUAACUACGUGCCAGCAGCCGCGGUAAUACGUAGGGUGCGAGCGUUAAUCGGAAUUACUGGGCGUAAAGCGUGCGCAGGCGGUUCUAUAAGACAGUUGUGAAAUCCCCGGGCUCAACCUGGGAAUUGCAUCUGUGACUGUAGAGCUAGAGUACGGCAGAGGGGGAUGGAAUUCCGCGUGUAGCAGUGAAAUGCGUAGAUAUGCGGAGGAACACCGAUGGCGAAGGCAAUCCCCUGGGCCUGUACUGACGCUCAUGCACGAAAGCGUGGGGAGCAAACAGGAUUAGAUACCCUGGUAGUCCACGCCCUAAACGAUGUCGAACUGGUUGUUGGGAAUUUACUUCUCAGUAACGAAGCUAACGCGUGAAGUUGACCGCCUGGGGNGAGCGCGAGUAGAGACGAGAGUAGAGCGNGAGAGNGACGAGGACGACGACGAGGGAGGAGG
Molecule: ribosomal RNA, 609 nt
Filed under: uncultured bacterium
Lineage: Bacteria
Description: bacterial SSU rRNA
Rfam family: Bacterial small subunit ribosomal RNA (bases 1-542)
Source: RNAcentral